RNAcentral lists this ribosomal RNA (433 nucleotides) under uncultured bacterium. RNAcentral describes it as "partial 16S ribosomal RNA". It matches the Rfam family "Bacterial small subunit ribosomal RNA", at positions 29 to 507 of the family's 1533-position model. The record is from RNAcentral.
AACGAACGCUGGCGGCAUGCCUAACACAUGCAAGUCGAACGAGACCUUCGGGUCUAGUGGCGCACGGGUGCGUAACGCGUGGGAACCUGCCCUUAGGUUCGGAAUAACUCCCCGAAAGGGGUGCUAAUACCGGAUAAUGUCUUCGGACCAAAGAUUUAUCGCCUUUGGAUGGGCCUGCGUUGGAUUAGCUAGUUGGUAGGGUAAAAGCCUACCAAGGCGACGAUCCAUAGCUGGUCUGAGAGGAUGAUCAGCCACACUGGGACUGAGACACGGCCCAGACUCCUACGGGAGGGAGCAGUGGGGAAUAUUGGACAAUGGGCGAAAGCCUGAUCCAGCAAUGCCGCGUGAGUGAUGAAGGCCUUAGGGUUGUAAAGCUCUUUUACCCGGGAUGAUAAUGACAGUACCGGGAGAAUAAGCUCCGGCUAACUCCGUG